Molecule: non-coding RNA, 335 nt
Organism: Paramuricea clavata
Lineage: Eukaryota; Metazoa; Cnidaria; Anthozoa; Malacalcyonacea; Plexauridae
Source: the annotation of a GenBank genome assembly
AGGUUCGAAUCCCACCGUGGCCGGGCAUAUUUUUCAAGCUCGCCCGGUGUGGAUAUCCACUCAGAGUAACAUCGCAAACAUAUUAUUCACCUGAGUACACAACACCAGCACAGAAAAUUCAUAUUACUAGAACACAUUGGUAUUGAAGGAACUAGAUACUGUUCCGAAAUAUCACUUACUCGAACCGUCCUGACCGCGUAGCUCAGUUGGAAGAGCAUUGGGCUAGUAUUCCAAAGGUCGUAGGUUCGAAUCCCACCGUGGCCGGGCAUAUUUUUCAAGCUCGCCCGGUGUGGAUAUGCACUCAGAGUAACAUCGCAAACAUAUUAUUCACAACA